UCCUUGUUAGUAUAGUGGACAGUUUCUCCGCCUAUCACACCUAAGACCUGGGUUCGAUUCCCUGAUGGGGAG
Molecule: non-coding RNA, 72 nt
Organism: Ameiurus melas (black bullhead)
Lineage: Eukaryota; Metazoa; Chordata; Actinopteri; Siluriformes; Ictaluridae
Source: the annotation of a GenBank genome assembly